Sinocyclocheilus anshuiensis is the source of this 166-nucleotide long non-coding RNA. RefSeq lists it as uncharacterized. The record is from RefSeq and is a predicted model, not a curated record. The transcript is spliced from 3 exons. Lineage: Eukaryota; Metazoa; Chordata; Actinopteri; Cypriniformes; Cyprinidae.
GUGUAGGAGUAUUUCGCACAGACGGAUGAAGAGAAGCAGCAGGGUCUGCCGGUGGUGAUGCCCGUGUUUGAUCGCAACACCUGCAGCAUUCCCAAAUCCCAGAUCUCCUUCAUCGACUACUUCAUCACCGACAUGUUUGACGCCUGGGACGCGUUUGCUGUUCUGC